UGUGAUUUAGCGUGUGGAGUAGGGACUGCCCACAGCAGAGUUAAUGAAGCAUUGCUGUGGAAAUGGUUUCUUCUCUCUCUGAAUCAGUGAAACCCUAUUACACACUGUCUCCAUUGUGCAGAAAGCAGACCGCCCAGGCAAGACCGUCACAC
Molecule: long non-coding RNA, 152 nt
Organism: Sinocyclocheilus grahami
Lineage: Eukaryota; Metazoa; Chordata; Actinopteri; Cypriniformes; Cyprinidae
Exons: 3
Source: RefSeq, a predicted model, not a curated record